GCUAAUGUAGCAUAACCCGGCGCUUGCUAAAGAUCUAAGCCCUUUUUAUAGAAGUUCAAAUCUUCUCAUUAGCU
This 74-nucleotide transfer RNA is filed under the name Anomaloglossus degranvillei (Degranville's rocket frog). Its description in RNAcentral is "tRNA-Leu". It matches the Rfam family "tRNA". From Rfam's summary of the family: Transfer RNA (tRNA) molecules are approximately 80 nucleotides in length. Their secondary structure includes four short double-helical elements and three loops (D, anti-codon, and T loops). Further hydrogen bonds mediate the characteristic L-shaped molecular structure. tRNAs have two regions of fundamental functional importance: the anti-codon, which is responsible for specific mRNA codon recognition, and the 3' end, to which the tRNAs corresponding amino acid is attached (by aminoacyl-tRNA synthetases). tRNAs cope with the degeneracy of the genetic code in two manners: having more than one tRNA (with a specific anti-codon) for a particular amino acid; and 'wobble' base-pairing, i.e. permitting non-standard base-pairing at the 3rd anti-codon position. Lineage: Eukaryota; Metazoa; Chordata; Amphibia; Anura; Aromobatidae. The record is from RNAcentral.